Molecule: long non-coding RNA, 6159 nt
Filed under: Phoenix dactylifera (date palm)
Lineage: Eukaryota; Viridiplantae; Streptophyta; Magnoliopsida; Arecales; Arecaceae
Description: long non-coding RNA (PDAC_LNC000240)
Source: RNAcentral
UUGAUCCAGCACCACCCAAUGCUACUGCAUCAAGGUUCAAAUUCCUGCAAUAAUACCAGCCGCCUGACGCAGACAGAAGCUAGAGGAUUAGAUGCACUUCUUAUCUUCAAGGAAUAAAUAUCAUAAUGCUUGGUCUAUAAAAAGGAGGAGCCAAGGAGAUCAGAAACCAGACCAGCCUCAGCUCUUCUAAAACUCCAGGUAGACAGUGUCCGACAUGAGCUGCUACCAGGAAAGGUUUUCCUCGGAGGAUGACUACUGCACCUACGCGUCGAAAAUGGAGAAGAAGACAGACAUGACUAAAGGGCCUCACUUCCCUCAGCUUCACACUGUGAUCAAGCACAAGGAGGUCCAUAUGGAAGAGGACGAGUCACGCCCUGGAAUCUUUGGCCGGCCGAGGCACGAGGAGUGGUCUGAAGAGGAGACCUAUGAAAUGUCUGAGACCACCUACGCAGGCGACAUGGGCAUGAAAGGGGGAGAGCGCAUCAGGCGCAAGGUGUAUAUAUGAGACUAUCAUCUAUAUAUAGUUCUGUGGUGAUGGAUGCCAUGGCUUGGCAUCUUUAUAUAUAGAAUAAAUCUCGGGCUUAUCUGCUGUAUAUCCAUAUGAAUAAUACUAUACUUCUCUAGUACUCAAGCUAUAGCUCUAUACUUUAGCCUACUACAUUCACUCUUGAUAUCUUUAGUACGCGCGUGUUUUCAGGUAAAUUUUUUGAGAAUACUACCCAACUCUUUCCCCCUUCAUUUUGAUAAUAUAAUCGGGAAAGAAGUAGGCUAGUCUCCGCUUUGAAUCCUAAAUAUAUUGGUGCAAGAUCGACCGAUGGCAUUCUAAAAUGUUGAUCCAAGCCACUGAUAAUGAUAUAUAUAACAUGUAAGACAUCCGCAAGAAUCAAGUAUUUUGUAAGUUAUCUAUCUAUUAUGCAUCAAGGGGAUGCAAAUGGACGGCAUGAGUAGUGCUAAUGUGUUAAAAUGCAUGAUAGGGUGUGAGAAAAAUUUUGAAUCCAGUCCAUCGAUUAUGAUCGCUCCAUAGAAAGCAUAUGUCAAAUAAAGUUCAAUAUGUUUGAGCACUUCUAAGUCAUAUGUAAACAUGAACUAGAUCGAACAACAUGUAUGAUGAAACCUUUUUGUUUUUGAAGAUUGUUUAUAAAAGGUUUUUGAGCUUUUGGAAGCAAAGUUUAUAGCUUUCAUAAAAAGAGUGAAAAUAAAAUCAAGGAAUAGUAAAAGUUUUGUGCAGAUGCUACCUCGGACAUCAAUCUGCAUGUAGGAAUAGCCAAAUAGGACCUGCAACUCUGUUUCCUAGGGGAAAAAAAAAAAAGCUGAGAUUUUAGGGACGGUUGCAAAAUGUUGCAGUUCCCGUUUUCUUCAGAUUUUCUAAAGCUGGAACUUUCUCGGUUUUGUUACUUCAAGUUCCUUUCUGAGAACUCAGAAAUUCUAACAUAUUUCUGUAGCAAUUUCCGAAGCUGUUUUAAUGAAGCUGUAACUACUACCUAUCAUUAUGGUUUUUAACUUACAGGCUUGAAGCAUAACGCGCUCCCAGUUGCACCCCUAUUUUAAGUGUCUUUGGAGCAUUUUUCAAGACAAAACGAGAACAUAGGAUAAUUUUUGGCCCAGAUCUUGCCACAUAUCGCCGCAAGUGUUGGCUGAUUCUCCUUCUUGAUUAAAGCAGACAAUGCCAGUGAUCAAACACAACAUAAGUUCACGUAUAUAAGCAAUUCACUAAGAUCUACACCAAAGAGGUGCAGUGGCAAAGAAGCAACCAACUCAGAGAACCUUUGGAAGAAGGCUUAGCCCAAAGAAGGCACAAACUUUGCCCUCCCCUGAGGCCAUCCUUUCAGAUCCCUCGGUUCCCACCACCUUCUCUCUCCCUCUCUCCUGCGGACGUGCCGGUGCUGCAGCGCAGAGAGAGACCCUGCAUCAAUGCCAUGCGGAUUCGUGCAAAGCAAACUAACGUUCCCCAUGCCAAAAGCGGAUUACUCUACUGCCUCUAUAUAUAGAUCUCUUGCUUUCUUCUCAGCUCGCCACUCUUUCUUCCACCGAUUCUUCCAGAAUUAAUAUUAGAGCCAUGGCUGUCUUCCGUCGAGCCUAUUUGUUUCGAGAUAUCUUCCGUUGAUGAGUGACUUGCUCGUCUUUCAUGGUCACUUGACGACGUUGGUGCCCUGAAGUCGCGCCAAUGGCAACCUCGCGUUGACGUGGGGGGAAUUAAGCUCGUUUCUAUGGGUGCUCUUCUUGCUUUAUUUUCCGCUUUCUGCUCUCUAACGUAUGGGAAUUGAUUUGUGUGAGGUUGGAAGGGGAUCCAAGUGUAUGGUGAUAUAAUAGCAGCCUUAAAUAUCAGCUUUUUGCUAUUCUAAUAUUGGGUUCGGGUUGUAUCUUCCGUGGGAAAGAAUGAUUCAUCUUUUUUUUCCACGAGGUCAACCAUUGGAUUGUGCAACGGCCACUUUAAGAUCUGUGCAGGUGGAUGAAAAAAAAAAGAGUUUGGUGUGCUUUGGAUCAUUCUUUCACGUGAAAGAUACAACCUAGAUCCUUUGAUAUAUGCACAUUUCCGAAGUGGUCAAAGUGUUUACCAUAAAGAAGAUUGGAGUCUUGAGUGCUCAAAAGAUGUUCGUAGCUAUAAGUGAGGUUGCAUAUUGCACCUAUAAGACUUAUUGAAUGUAUAGUGAUUGUAUGGAGUUCCUCCUCCACCAAGAUGGUCAUGACCUCGCAUUAAGAAUUGGCUGUGUUGUUAUAUUGAAUAAUCAAUAUUAACAAUCCACUUUAAAAAUCAUUGUCAAGGAUAGAGAUGCGAACUUGGUUGAAAUAGCUUAUAAGUGGUCCCUUAACUUGAAAUAAUAGAAUACCUUACUACAAUUUUGUGACAAAAUCCAUGUAUUAAUAAUGAUACCCUUGAUAAGAGGCAUAGUGGUUUAUUGGAUUCAGAUACAAAUAAGGGUCUAGUUGUCCAACAUGAAAUCAACCAUAUGUUACAAUGUUAAUAUUAAAACAUAGAGAUGGUCAGACAUAUGAGACCCACAACCCAGCUAAUUACUUAAAGUUUUAAAAAUAAUUAUUUUGGAAAAAAAUAUUAUUAAGAACAAUGGUAAAUUAUUUUCAAAAGGUUUCAUGUGCAUUGAAAUCCAAUCCAAUCCACCACCAUAAGCUCUCUCACGCGCGCAUAUAUAUAUAUAUAUAUAUAUAUAUAUUCGUUAUAUAUAUAUAUAUAUAUAUAUAUAUAUUCGAAUUUGCCCCUCUUGGUUUCAAGUUAGCAUGUUUUAUAGAAUGGCAAUUUUAGAUGAAGUUUGGUCUAGGACCUCUAGGUAUAGAUGUGUAGGAAUAGAUUUGCACAAUUUGAUGAGUCGGUGAAUAUUUUGGUGUAAUUUGACAUAUUCAAUAUUCUAUUUUGCAUGGUUGCAAUUUUCUGUUUUCAAUUUUCCUUAAAAACUAAAGAAAUUGCCACGGGAAUGGUGUUUGAUAAUCUAUUUUCUUUUUUAGUUUUUUUGAAAACUUUUUCUUAGUUUCUAAAAAUUUAUGCAAGUUUAAAAUUUUGUUUCCAAAAUUUCUAAAAAUCAAACCACUCAUGAUCCUCCACCAUCAUCUUUGUUGCUAUUGCCUCUGUCACCACCUAUCAACCACUAUCCUCUCGCCAACCACAAUCAUCUCCACUAUCACUGCAAUCAGCAUUGCUAACAUUGCUGCCAAAUGCAUUCCAUGCAACCAUUAGAUGUUAGGUUUUUGAUUGAAGGAGGCUUGUUUGAGGAAUCUCUUUUAGAGAUGUAACGUGAAAGAUAAAUGGAGAAUCGACCUUGCGACCUAGAGAGGGGAAUUUCAAAAAAUUCGAUGAAAAGAGAGAAAAAGAAGGGAAUAUAUAUUUGUGGUGUGGUUAACUAAGCUGAUUGAUAUUGAUGGUAUUCGAAUUUGAUAAGACAAGGAUUAGAAUUCUUUCAUAUGAAGUAUGCGAAUGAAGAACUGGUGGUCUAGAUCAUUGAGGAAUGAGAAUAAGAAAGCGAGCAAUGAAGAUAGGAGGUGGGUCCUAAAAUUUAAAGGGGCAAGGAGGCUGCACUGGAACUAUUUGGAAAUCCCAAGAACAUUUAAUUUCUCAGGAUGGCCAUGGCCCUUGCCCCCUCCCCUGCCGGUUCCAGCAUUCACAAACUGAUGCAUUCUUUUAGUCUUCUAAAUCUACUUCAUAUAGUUUCUAGGAGCUUGGGUUGUCUCUAUGGUUCAUAAACCUUACAAGAAUGUUUACCUUCUGAUGUCAGCAUAUGAUAUAUAACGAUGACAAGUGCCUCUACCUGUGGGUCGAUGAAGAAUGGUAUGAUCAAUUCAGGUUUCCAAGCACAGAAGAACGGUACAAAGAUAGCAGCAGCAAGACAUUCAAACAUUGUUGAUCUCAGAAAACCAUGUUGCCCAUGCUGUAACGCAGCACUGGUUUGUAAGCUAGGAAAUGAUCAAGGAAUAGGAUGGACUCCAAUGGACACAGGCCUAUGUGAACUUGGAGAGGAGCACUGUACUAGUAAAGUGAAUGCAACUCAGCUAUGGUGCUCAUAUUCUGCCCCUAUGUAAAUUUCAAACUUCUCUCUUUUUCUUCUUGGGAAAUAUCGAACCUAUUCAACCAUCUGAUGGUGAUUACAAACAUUUUAAACUAACUUUUUCCAGAGCAAUUCCAAACGGUGGAGAAAUUGUUUGCAUAUGAUGAGGUAUGGGAUCACAAAGUAAUAUAAUUAUUGUCGAGUAUAUCUUUGAGUUUACGGGCUCUAGAAAGGCAAAAAAAAUCUUUUCCCCCAUGAGAGAAGCAAGUGGUGCAGAGUGCAAAGAGCGAAGCAAGCAUUAGCAUCCUUGUUUUAUUUGGGCCGCACAGGAUGAGAUAAAUUUAUUUAUAUAUUGUUCUAGAAACCGACAUUAGCAUCAGUGGGUGCUUCCAAUACCACCCAAAGCUACUGCAUCAAGGUUCAAAUUCAUGCAAUAACACUAGCCGCCUGACGCAGACAGAAGUUAGAGGAUUAGAUGCGCUUCUUAUCUUUUUUCUUUUUUUUUGGUACAGAUGCACUUCUUAUCUUCAAGGAAUAAAUAUCAUAAGGCUUGGUCUAUAAAAAGGAGGAGCCAAGGAGCUCAGAAACCAGACCAGCCUCAGCUCUUCUAAAACUCCAGGUAGACAGUGUCCAACAUGAGCUGCACCUACGAGUCGAAAAUGGAGAAGACAAGCAUGACUGAAGGGCCUCACUCCCCUCAGCUUCACACUGUGAUCAAGCACAAGGAGGUCCAUGAGGAAGAGGAGAAGCCACGCCACGGAAUCUUCGGCCGGCCAAGGAACAAGGAGUGGUCUGAAGAGGAGACCUAUGAAAUCUCUGAGACAACCUACGCAGGCGACAUGGGCAUGCAAGGAGGAGAGUGCAUCAGGCGCAAGGAGUAUAUAUGAGACCAUACAUCAAGGCAGCUUGAGAGCAUCAUCUAUCUAUAGUUCUGUGAUGAUGGAUGCCAUGGCUUGGCAUCUUUAUAUAUAGAAUAAAUCUCUGGCUUAUCUACUGUAUAUCCAUAUGAAUAAUACUAUACUUCUCUAGUACUCAAGGUAUAGCUCUAUACUUUAGCCUACUACAUUCACUCUUGAUAUCUUUAGUACGCGCGUGUUUUCAGGUAGAUUUUUUGAGAAUACUACACCAACUCUUUCCCCCUUCAUUUUGAUAAUAUAAUCGGGAAAGAAGUAGGCUAGUCUCCGCUUUGAAUCCUAAAUAUAUUGGUGCAAGAUCGACCGAUGGCAUUCUAAAAUGUUGAUCCAAGCCACUGAUAAUGAUAUAUAUAACAUGCAAGACAUCCGCAAGAAUCAAGUAUUUUGUAAGUUUUCUAUCUAUUAUGCAUCAAGAGGAUGCAACUGGACGGCAUGAGUAGUGCUAAUGUGUUAAAAUGCAUGAUAGGGUGUGAGAAAAAUUUUGAAUCCAGUCCGUCGAUUAUGAUCGCUCCAUAGAAAGCAUAUGUGAAAUAAAGUUCAAUAUGUUUGCUUCUAAGUCACAUGAAAACAUGAACUCGAUCCAACAACAUGUGUGAUGAAACCUUUUUGUUUUUGAAGAUUGUUUGUAAAAGUUUUUGAGCUUUUGGAAGCAAAGUUUAUAGCUUUCAUAGAAGGAGUGAAAAUAAAGCAAGGAAUAGAAAAAGUUUUGUACAGAUGCCACCUUGGACAUCAAUCUGCAUGUGGUAUUUCAC